Long non-coding RNA from Pleuronectes platessa (European plaice), 717 nucleotides. RefSeq lists it as uncharacterized. The transcript has 5 exons. The record is from RefSeq and is a predicted model, not a curated record. Lineage: Eukaryota; Metazoa; Chordata; Actinopteri; Pleuronectiformes; Pleuronectidae.
GACAUGACGUGUGGCUGUCGUAAAAACCCUAUUUGUAAACAACCAGUCCUUUAACUCGGGGCUGCGUCAUAAACACGGAGCGCUUGGAAGACCACGAUGUCAUCUUCCUUCUGUCAGGAGGAUCAAAGUGAAGCUACAGGAGUUUCAUUAACGUCAACAACUUGGACCAAACAGUUUGUUUUGCUUGAUGAAGAGCAGGAAGGGCAGCCUGGAGAGAAAGAGUAGCCGGGUUGAGCCCACUACCAUCAUCCACGUACCACGAGGAAGAUGAGGGAGAGAAAUGAUCCUACCAUUAAAGAGACUGUGAAAAGAACGUUGAGAACAUCACCACUCUACAGGAAGACACAGUCCAGUAAUGGUUGUCAGAAGUUCAGUAGUGAACGACAGAAACAAACAAUCAAAAUUACCUGCAGAAAGCCCCUGAUGGACGCUUCAGCUGCAUCGUCAGACUGAGAAGCAGUACAGGUGUGCCUCAGCUCCACGGUCCCUCCUGCAGCCUCCGCUCCUGAUGCUAACCUCAUGUCUCCAUCACACCAAGCAGCAGACCUGGAUUGACAGACCUUUCUCCAGAGCUGCCCCCUCCCUCUGAAACCCCCCUCUCCAAAACACUAUUUGUGUAGUUUUUAAAGUAUUUUUUGCAUGAGAAUUGUUGAUCAUAUCAUUUCCAGCAGAUGCCUUAAUAUAAUGUUUGUGCACAAUAAAUGACAUUGUUCAUAA